CCAACCCUUCUAAUCCAUUAGGCACUACUUUGGAUAGGGAUACACUGAAAAAAAUCUUGAUCUUCACUAACGAACAUAACAUCCAUCUUGUUUGUGACGAAAUCUAUGCUGGUACCGUGUUUGAUGCUCCACGAUUCGUCAGCAUCGCUGAAAUCAUUGAGGACGAUGGAAUUUGUGUUAAUAAAAAUUUGAUACAUAUUGUGUCUAGUCUUUCCAAAGACAUGGGUUUUCCAGGAUUUCGAGUGGGAAUUGUGUAUUCCUUCAAUGAUGAUGUGGUUAAUAAUGCUAGAAAAAUGUCGAGCUUCGGUCUUGUUUCUACUCAAACACAAAAUUUUCUAGCUUCCAUGCUAUCUGACGAUGAAUUUAUCGAAGAAUUUCUUACUGAAAACACCAAGAGGUUAAGGAAACGGCACGAGAAAUUCACUAGCGGACUUGAAAAAAUCGGAAUCAGAUGCUUAAAAAGCAAUGCUGGGGUUUAUUGCUGGGUGGAUUUGAGGACUCUAUUGAAAGAGCCAACACUUGAUGCUGAGGUGUCACUAUGGAAAUUGAUCAUAAACAACGCGAAGCUCAACAUCUCGCCUGGAUCUUCAUUUAAUUGCCCCGAAGCAGGGUGGUUCCGAAUCUGUUUUGCGAAUAUCGAUGAUCGAACGGUGGAGAUCGCACUCAAAAGAAUUCAAAUAUUUGUGGAUGCUAAUAACGAUAUUAAUGAAAAUGGAAUCGUGAAGAACGCAUCAGUGAAAGGGAAAUGAUUUACAAAUAUAGACUUCAUGAACGAAAAGUAGUACGUAUAAUAAAAUUAAUAUUAUGAGCUUGAAUAUGUUGUCUCCUAAUUUUCUGAUUGCUAAGGAGAAUAAAGAAGAAAUUGAAGUUUUUUUUUUUUUUUUUUUUUUUUGUUAUAAAAAUUAUAUGAAAAAUGUUCGUACCGUGGCCUUAUUAUGAGUAAUAAUAAUGUUUUUUAUUUGAUCUUUACAAAUGCAUAUUUUUCCCUUGAAAAAAUGACACAAAUAAUUUCUUGUGACAAUUAAUUUUUCUCUAUCUGCUAUUGUUGCAACUUUGUAGUACUUGCUACUUUAUUUUUUAUCACACUCCAAUUAAAGACUAACAAAAUAUAAUGACCAAGUAACAAAUUUAUCACUACUUAUUAGUUACUCUCUCUGUCCACCACUGUUAGUUGUCAUGAUGCGUUUUUCAAAAGUCAAUUUGGCUAAUUUUCAAAGUUAAAUUAGAGUACAUUAGUUCGAUAUUUUAAACAAAAAAUUUAGAUAAUCAAAAACUAGACGAAAAGUACUAUAAAUUGUAUUUUUUUUUUUGCAUAUCAAUAUGAUAAAAAAAUACAUCAUAAAAUAUUAGUCAAAAUUCUUAUAGUUUGAUUCUAAAAAAGGAAAUUAUGACAAUUAAAAGUUGACGGAGGGAGUAUUAAGACUCUUUCUUGGGGAAUAAAUAAUUCAAAAGAUAAGAGUAAAGUUUAGUGGUUUUUGUGUUAGAAAAAACAGUUAAAUGUAUUGAUGAAAAAGAAUAAUCAUAGUUAUGUAAUUAUUUAAAGAAAUUUAAAUUUCAAGAAUCACAACUUCAAAAUACGACCAAACAUAAAACUAACCAUUUCCGUCAUUUUGAGUUUCACUUUCUCAAGCUCCGUCCAGUCUCCGACGACUUCUCCGACGAGUCCCUUGCCACCAUCUGUGUUUAUCUCUCUAUUUCCUUCAUCUUUCUUUUUAUAUUUACAUAUAAAGGUAC
This 1734-nucleotide long non-coding RNA is filed under the name Solanum tuberosum (potato). RNAcentral describes it as "long non-coding RNA (STUB_LNC005913)". Lineage: Eukaryota; Viridiplantae; Streptophyta; Magnoliopsida; Solanales; Solanaceae. The record is from RNAcentral.